GAUGAACGCUGGCGGCGUGCCUAACACAUGCAAGUCGAACGAAGCACUUAUAAAGAUUCCUUCGGGAUGAAGUAUUUGUGACUUAGUGGCGGACGGGUGAGUAACGCGUGGGUAACCGUGCCUUAUUACAGGGGAGGGGUAACUAACGUUAGGUUAAAGUAAGUACGUACGUCGUAACUUAAACCGUACCCGACUAAAGUAACGGCCGACCAACGUACGUUCCGUCCGACUAGGGUACGGGAACGUAGGUUGGU
This 254-nucleotide ribosomal RNA is filed under the name uncultured bacterium. Its description in RNAcentral is "partial 16S ribosomal RNA". The record is from RNAcentral.